RNAcentral lists this ribosomal RNA (352 nucleotides) under uncultured Racocetra. RNAcentral's name for it is "SSU rRNA". It matches the Rfam family "Eukaryotic small subunit ribosomal RNA", at positions 569 to 929 of the family's 1831-position model. Lineage: Eukaryota; Fungi; Glomeromycota; Glomeromycetes; Diversisporales; Gigasporaceae. The record is from RNAcentral.
UGCAGCCGCGGUAAUUCCAGCUCCAAUAGCGUAUAUUAAAGUUGUUGCAGUUAAAAAGCUCGUAGUUGAAUUUCGGGGUUCUACCGUUGGUCGGGCUUUGUCUGUACUGGCGUGUAGAAUUUCUACCUUCUGGGGAACCAUCAUGUUAUUAAUUUAACGUGGUGGGAAACCAGGACCUUUACCUUGAAAAAAUUAGAGUGUUCAAGGCAGGCUUAUGUCUGAAUACAUUAGCAUGGAAUAAUAGAAUAGGACGGUGGUCCUGUUUUGUUGGUUUCUGAAUCACCGUAAUGAUUAAUAGGGAUAGUUGGGGGCAUUAGUAUUCAAUUGUCAGAGGUGAAAUUCUUGGAUUUAU